RNAcentral lists this ribosomal RNA (253 nucleotides) under uncultured bacterium. RNAcentral describes it as "partial 16S ribosomal RNA". It matches the Rfam family "Bacterial small subunit ribosomal RNA", at positions 524 to 776 of the family's 1533-position model. The record is from RNAcentral.
UACGUAGGGUGCGAGCGUUAAUCGGAAUUACUGGGCGUAAAGCGUGCGUAGGCGGUUCGUUAUGUCUGCUGUGAAAGCCCCGGGCUUAACCUGGGAAUGGCAAUGGAAACUGGCGGGCUUGAGUGUGGCAGAGGGGGGUGGAAUUCCGCGUGUAGCAGUGAAAUGCGUAGAGAUGCGGAGGAACACCGAUGGCGAAGGCAGCCCCCUGGGCUGACACUGACGCUGAGGCACGAAAGCGUGGGGAGCAAACAGG